Long non-coding RNA from Cyanistes caeruleus (blue tit), 816 nucleotides. The record is from Ensembl. Lineage: Eukaryota; Metazoa; Chordata; Aves; Passeriformes; Paridae.
ACAGUAAUCAGAAGAAGCUCAUGAAAAAUGAUACUCUGAAAUGUUCUCUUCUCACUUUUGCAGACUGGAUAUCCUGGGCUGCUGUACAGGACAAUUUCUGGGUGUGCAUUUAAUACAGGAGCUUGAGUGGAAGUUAAAAUUUUCCUUCUGUUUUCCUGCUUUGCAAUGGGAUACAUUUUUCUUCUCUCCAUUCUGUUAGAAAUUUUUUCACCAAGAUGUUUAACAACUUGAUCCUUACCUUCAGUAAAGCCCAAAACUAUUGCUAUGUUUUAGAUGUUUCUGAUUUUUUCCUCAAUAAUCCCACUGCUACUCUGCUGAAGUAGCUUGAUCUCAUACAACAGAAGAUUAGUAUGGAGUGGAAAGUGUGAAAUACAUACAGAUGGAAUUAAAACUGAAAGGAAAGGCUGGAAGCUUGUGGCUUAUUUAUAUCAUAGGAUCACUGUUGUAAGUAGCAAAUGCUCUGCAAUUGUUUUCAUACAGAAGCAACCACAGUCAUAUGUGAGUAACCAGGCAAUAGAAAGCACUUUCUGAUUGUUUGAUGAGUAUACCAGAAAGAGCUCAGUAGAACAAGUUUUUAGGCAGUGAUUCUUUUUCCCCCUUCCCCCUGCCCCCAGAGGGCCAAUGUUAUCCCUUGCUUUCAGUCUAUCAGUCUAUCAGCAUGUCUUUGUCUCUAAUUAUCUUUACAAGCUUAACAAGUAUGAGAUGAAACUUGCAAGAAGAUUAAAACAGAAUAUCAAGUUACAAAAUUUACAGGUAAUUUUAUUUGGUUUACAUUAAUCUAUCUUGAAGCUAGUACAAGUAUUGCAAUCAGUAGAU